This is a long non-coding RNA of Peromyscus californicus insignis, 2571 nucleotides long. RefSeq lists it as uncharacterized. NCBI's taxonomy places the organism in Eukaryota, Metazoa, Chordata, Mammalia, Rodentia, Cricetidae. The transcript is spliced from 3 exons. The record is from RefSeq and is a predicted model, not a curated record.
GAGCAAAUCAGCAUCCGGCUCAGUCUGCCCCCGCCCCGGGUACGAUGAGAAGAUGACAGGGCCCAGAAGGGGUGGGUUUAAAGAGUCUCCCUUCCCCACAGCUUGGCACCCAGCCUAAACCCUCUGCUCGCUGAAAGGGUGCCAAGCUGCCCAGCACGUUUGAAUUUGCAAAUCGUCUCCUGUUUACUAUCAGAGGAUCUGCAAAGCUGAAUCUCCUCGUGGGUUUUCGUGCGGCUGUCAUGAGUCCUGUUGGGAAGCGAGCCUUCACAAACCUCAGUGUGUAAGUAACAGGCUGCUUCGUCUGUAGGUGAACGAGUCAUAAAAGGAUUAUUCAAGGAGUUUUUUCUUUUUUUACCCUGGACUGGAUUUGAGCAUUUGCUCGUUUGGAGGUGGGGACAGGAAACGGCUGAGCCUUUGAGAGUGGGAAGAGAGUCCAGGAUUGGAAACCAUCGCUUGUUAGGGGACUCCGCUGUACCGCUCAGCUGUGAUGACAAUCCACUCGAGAUAUGUUGUAUUAAAAGAAAGUGUGGCGUGAGUCCAGCGGUUGAAAUGCAGACGCCCACAUGUAUUUAUAUUCUCGGGGCCUGGGCCAUGUGUGCGGUGACACAGCGUGCUGGAAAGUCGUGGAACUGAAAAUAACAUAUGUCUGUCUCAAGUGCCAGAGGAAAUUGUAGCGCUAGUGAGAAGGAGCAGGGUGCAGAUUUAGAAAGGGGAGCGAAAUGCCUCCUGUGUCACUGUGGUGUUUAUCCCCAGGCCCUGGCUUCUCCUCACACAUAGCAGGAGCCGCUGCAAAACCGCCAGGAAAACAAAUGCUGAACUGUGCCCCGGCCUCCUUCCAGAGCAGGUUGGCUUUAAGCAGCUCUGCCUUGGAAAUGAGGUUCUGGCAGACUGAAUUUUGACCCUCACUGUGGUUUGCUGAGUACCUGGAAGGCUCGUCCGUGAGUAAGAAGCUGUUGAUGGUGCUGAAACUGGGCAGGGAGGUGCUGGCAAGAAAGGAGGUCUCUUUCACCUCAGAACUGCCUGGACUUAAACAUGACUCAGAGAGAGGACUGAAGAGGUGGCCAAUUCAAGGACAGUCAUCAUGUCAGGAAGCUGAAGCAGGAGCUGCGGCAGCUGGUCAUGUCUGUAGUCAGAAGAGAGAACAAUGAAUGCUUUGCCACAGCUCAGAUUCUCUUUUAUCACGUACACGGUCCAGGACCAACCAGGGAAUGGUGCCGCCAACAGUGGACUGGUCUUCCCACUCAAAGGAAUUAAGGAAGACAGAAGUCAGGGAAGCAAAGCUGAAGAUGCUAAACCGUGGACCACCUACACUACAGGUCUCUUCGGUGCUCUGCCCAGGACCUUCACCUGAAGCUUGGACAGUAGUAACACCCAAGUCCCUGUAAAAGGUUCCUGUGGGGAACGUGCCAUGAGAAUAUGUCUGUCAGUAAUGCCACGGAAGAUGCAGAUGAGGAAAUGGAUUCUGUAGCAAGUUACAUCCUGGCCUGGGGGCCCUUUUUGAUGGGAACAGGAUUCAGUUUGUUUCUUGUUACUGUUGAUAUCUGUUCUUAUUAUAUUUCAACACCUUGUUUCAGAGGAGUUUUGAGUCAAGCAAAAAGUAAACAAAAGCCAUACAAUCCUGUACACUUCAGCUAUUGCUGGUCACUGUGUGCUUCUCUCUCCUGUGGGUAGAUUCCUUGAUUCUCUGAAGAAAAAAAUCUAAGGAAUUAAGACAUGGACCAGUAAAUAUCCCAAGAAUAUGAAUUAAUUAUGACUGUGGUGAUAUUUUAUCUGUGUAACCUAAUAAAGCUUAUCUGAGGAUCAGAGGAAAAAGUCAGCCACUCUAGUAAACAUAGAAGUCAGACAAAGGUAGCACACGCCUUUAAUCCUAGCAUUCAGGAGGCAGAGAUCCAUCUGGAUCUCUGUGAGUUCAAGACCACACUGGGAACAGAGCCAGGCAUGGUGGCACAUGCCUUUAAUUCCAAUGUUAGUUAACCAUAAAGGUCUGUACAGACAGAUAGGAAGAGACAGAGCUGGGCAGAAAGAGGAAGUGAUGUAGCUGGGCGGAGAGAGGAAGUGAGAUUGUGGAACAGAAAGGCAUGUAGGUGUGGGUAUACAGAAAGUAGCUUGCUCUGGAGGCUGAGGACCAGGAACUAGAGGCCUUUAAGCUUUUAGGCUUUUAGCAGUAGUUCAGCUGAGAUCCAUUUGGGUGAGGACUUAGAAGCGUCCAGUCUGAGGAAACAGGAUCAGUUGAGAAGUUGGCAAGGUGAGGUUGGCUGUGGCUUUCCCUAUUUCUCUGAUCUUCCAGUGUUCACCCCAAUACCUGGCUCCAAGUUUUCUAUUAACAAGACCGUCUAAGGUUUGUGUUACAUAUGACAGAAUUGUUUUAGUAUAAGACUUCAAAUCAAUACUAUUUUUGUAACAUUAUAAUGAUCAUUUCUCUGGUAGUUCUAUUUUUCUGUACACCCCACAUAAAAAGUUUGUUUUGCUUUUACAGGACAUUGCUUGCAAUUUAAAAUUGUCACUUGACUCCAUUUAAAGACUAUGGAUUAAGCUUGAUUAUGCUAAAAAUAAAAGUAAUAUCUCCAACUA